Non-coding RNA from Odocoileus virginianus texanus, 703 nucleotides. The record is from RefSeq and is a predicted model, not a curated record. NCBI's taxonomy places the organism in Eukaryota, Metazoa, Chordata, Mammalia, Artiodactyla, Cervidae.
UUGGCACUGGAAGACAAAAUCUUAAUCACUAGACUACCAGGGGAGUCCCUGGAAUGGGUUGUAUUUUAAACACCAGCUUGGCUGUCAGAUGUCUGGAAGUUGGAACGUGGUUUCCAUUACAGCUGGUGGUCAGGGUCCUAGAUUAGCCUGCAACAAUAUUCAAUCCAUAAUAUGGAUGAAAUAGUAUAUACUUUUGUAUAUUUUUUUCAGUGGAAAGCAGUUUGAAAAACUCCAACACUCAGUGGUUCCAAUACCAGCCCUCAAUGAAGCAGAAGAACAGUAACAUCAUGGGAGCUCCACGUUUAUUUUGAAGUUUGAGGCGGCUUUAGGACCAUCCUUUAAAGAAGGUAGGUACUGAGCCAGCAAGUAGCCCAGCCGGAAUCUGAACCCAUGUCUCAUCUGGAUGCAAAGCCUCACUCUUCACCCCUUUACACUGUCCAAGGAUUGAAGCACAAAUGAGAACAUCUAAUAAAAAUAACCCAAGGAUCUGAGGGUGACCAAAGUGCCAUGAGAACAUGCUCAGGCCAGCCUGCUGGAGUAUCAGAGACACGUGGAACAGAGCACAGCUGCUCCAGCUGAGGCCAGCCUAGAUCAGUCAAGAGCCAGCCAACACCCAGGCAUGGCUUGCCAACAGGAGGAUGAGGAAAAUGCUACUCUCUCAUCAAGAUAACACAAGCUGCCAUCCAUCUUGUUUUUUUUUUUU